AUAAGCGUACACGGUGGAUGCCCUGGCAGUCAGAGGCGAUGAAGGGCGUGCUAAUCUGCGAUAAGCGCCGGUAAGGUGAUAUGAACCGUUAUAACCGGCGAUACCCGAAUGGGGAAACCCAGUGUGAUUCGUCACACUAUCAUUAACUGAAUCCAUAGGUUAAUGAGGCGAACCGGGGGAACUGAAACAUCUAAGUACCCCGAGGAAAAGAAAUCAACCGAGAUUCCCCCAGUAGCGGCGAGCGAACGGGGAGGA
Molecule: ribosomal RNA, 255 nt
Filed under: Salmonella enterica subsp. enterica serovar Kentucky
Lineage: Bacteria; Pseudomonadati; Pseudomonadota; Gammaproteobacteria; Enterobacterales; Enterobacteriaceae
Description: partial 23S ribosomal RNA
Rfam family: Bacterial large subunit ribosomal RNA
Source: RNAcentral